GGAAAAGGAAGUGCGAAUAAGCAGGGGUCACAUGAGAGUCUCCCGGCCUCUAGAGGGGAGCAUCCAAAAACAUGGCCCCAGGAUUAGGGGGAUGUUCUGUCAUGUCUAGACAACAGGACACAAAAGGCUUCACCCAUGUGGCUGAACACUGAAGCUCAGGAUUUCACAUCCUCCUCCCUGACACACACGUCCUGCCAGGUCACCCAGAGUCCUUGCCACCUGCCCUGAACCAGAAACCAUGGGCAUCAUGGCCACAUUUAGUGGCUGUCAAUCAGCUGGUGACAAACUUGCCAUCCGUCACAUGAUUCAUAUAGAGCCACAUAUCCUUGCUGUGUCUGAAGAAACUGGUCGCCAUAGUACCAUCCAGGUAGAAGCAAGGACAUCUCAGUCUCCCUGAAGAUUCCAGCAUGAGAAAGAGGUUUAUGAAUAUCAUCUCCCACCAAGAAGAACCAGGGACCUUGGAGAAAUGGUGCAGGGCUGUGGCAGGGAGAAGAUGGGUGGGCCUGGAGUAUCUUCUUAGGCUGGUCAGUAAGGAAAGAAGACAACAACAAAAUAGAUGAGUGGCGCAGGAUAGGGUUCAAGGAGGGCCCCUCACACACCUCACGGUGGAAAUGGGGGCCGCCACUCGAUCUGCCAAGUAGCUUCUUUACUCUUGUCACAGAUAAAGAAUUCUAGGAUGUGUCGGUGUGAGGCACAGGUAGAUUUCCUAGGCAGAGUUAGAAUGUAAGGCGGAAUGGGAAAAGGACUGUGCCUUGAACAGUUUGAGGGCGUUCACUGGGAUGCUGGGGUUCAGACUGGUCACUCCCAAAAGCACAAGGCCAUAUUUCAUGUAUUAGUUGUGGUGGGUAAGGGAUGCAGUGAUCCUUAUCUCAGUUCUUGUUUCCUAGGUCCAGAGGAAUCCUUAUGGCUCAAGGGGCAAUCAGUUCCCAUGAGAUGACCUUCCUUACUCAGCAGGGACACUGCCUCGAUUUUCAUCAUGGGAAGAUCACAAGAAGG
This 996-nucleotide long non-coding RNA is filed under the name Heterocephalus glaber (naked mole-rat). RNAcentral's name for it is "lncRNA (ENSHGLG00100039793.1)". Lineage: Eukaryota; Metazoa; Chordata; Mammalia; Rodentia; Bathyergidae. The record is from RNAcentral.